RNAcentral lists this ribosomal RNA (253 nucleotides) under uncultured bacterium. RNAcentral's name for it is "partial 16S ribosomal RNA". It matches the Rfam family "Bacterial small subunit ribosomal RNA", at positions 524 to 776 of the family's 1533-position model. The record is from RNAcentral.
UACGAAGGGGGCUAGCGUUGCUCGGAAUCACUGGGCGUAAAGCGCACGUAGGCGGUUUGCUAAGUCAGGGGUGAAAUCCUGGAGCUCAACUCCAGAACUGCCUUUGAUACUGGCGAUCUCGAGUCCGGGAGAGGUGAGUGGAACUGCGAGUGUAGAGGUGAAAUUCGUAGAUAUUCGCAAGAACACCAGUGGCGAAGGCGGCUCACUGGCCCGGUACUGACGCUGAGGUGCGAAAGCGUGGGGAGCGAACAGG